This 253-nucleotide ribosomal RNA is filed under the name uncultured bacterium. RNAcentral describes it as "partial 16S ribosomal RNA". It matches the Rfam family "Bacterial small subunit ribosomal RNA", at positions 524 to 776 of the family's 1533-position model. The record is from RNAcentral.
UACGUAGGGGGCAAGCGUUGUCCGGAUUCAUUGGGCGUAAAGAGCGUGUAGGCGGCCAGGCAGGUCGGUUGUGAAAACUGGAGGCUUAACCUCCAGACGUCGACGGAAACCGCGUGGCUAGAGUCCGGAAGAGGAGAGUGGAAUUCCUGGUGUAGCGGUGAAAUGCGCAGAUAUCAGGAGGAACACCGGUGGUGUAGACGGCUCUCUGGACCGUAACUGACGCUGAGACACGAAAGCGUGGGUAGCAAACAGG